CCUACGGGAGGCAGCAGUGGGGAAUAUUGCACAAUGGGGGAAACCCUGAUGCAGCGACGCCGCGGGAGUGAAGAAGUAUUUCGGUAUGUAAAGCUCUAUCAGCAGGGAAGAAAUAGCGACCUUUGGGUCGCCAGACGGUACCUGACUAAGAAGCCCAGGCUAACUACGUGCCAGCAGCCGCGGUAAUACGUAGGGGGCAAGCGUUAUCCGGAUUUACUGGGGGUAAAGGGAGCGUAGACGGCAGCACAAGUCUGAAGUGAAAUGCCGGGGCUUAACCCCGGAACUGCUGUGGAAACUGGGCAGCUAGAGUGCAGGAGAGGUAAGUGGAAUGCCUAGUGUAGCGGUGAAAUGCGUAGAUAUUAGGAGGAACACCAGUGGCGAAGGCGGCUUACUGGACUGUAACUGACGUUGAGGCUCGAAAGCGUGGGGAGCAAACAGGAUUAGAUACCCCUGUAGUC
This 458-nucleotide ribosomal RNA is filed under the name uncultured bacterium. RNAcentral's name for it is "partial 16S ribosomal RNA". It matches the Rfam family "Bacterial small subunit ribosomal RNA", at positions 338 to 795 of the family's 1533-position model. The record is from RNAcentral.